Molecule: transfer RNA, 71 nt
Filed under: Marmota monax (woodchuck)
Lineage: Eukaryota; Metazoa; Chordata; Mammalia; Rodentia; Sciuridae
Description: tRNA.His
Source: RNAcentral
UGUGGUUGUGGCUCAGUGGUAGUGCUCAACUAGUGCGUGUGAGGCUGUGUGUUCGAUCCUCAGCACCACAA